GUGCCAGCAGCCGCGGUAAGACGAACCGUGCGAACGUUGUUCGGAUUCACUGGGCUUAAAGGGCGCGUAGGCGGGCUGUCAAGUCGGUGGUGAAAUCUUUCGGCUCAACCGGAAGACGGCCUCCGAUACUGGCAGUCUCGAGGGGGGUAGGGGCAUGCGGAACUUCGGGUGGAGCGGUGAAAUGCGUAGAUAUCCGAAGGAACGCCGGUGGCGAAAGCGGCGUGCUGGACCCUUUCUGACGCUGAGGCGCGAAAGCCAGGGGAGCAAACGGGAUUAGAUACCCCGGUAGUCC
Molecule: ribosomal RNA, 292 nt
Filed under: uncultured bacterium
Lineage: Bacteria
Description: partial 16S ribosomal RNA
Rfam family: Bacterial small subunit ribosomal RNA
Source: RNAcentral